UACGUAGGGUGCAAGCGUUAUCCGGAAUUAUUGGGCGUAAAGAGCUCGUAGGCGGUUUGUCACGUCUGCUGUGAAAACUGGAGGCUCAACCUCCAGCCUGCAGUGGGUACGGGCAGACUAGAGUGCGGUAGGGGAGAUUGGAAUUCCUGGUGUAGCGGUGGAAUGCGCAGAUAUCAGGAGGAACACCGAUGGCGAAAGCAGGUCACUGGACCCGUAUUGACGCUCAUCCACGAAAGCGUGGGGAGCAAACAGG
RNAcentral lists this ribosomal RNA (253 nucleotides) under uncultured bacterium. Its description in RNAcentral is "partial 16S ribosomal RNA". It matches the Rfam family "Bacterial small subunit ribosomal RNA", at positions 524 to 776 of the family's 1533-position model. The record is from RNAcentral.